UCUGAAAUGAUUAGCUCUAAGCAGUCCUGACAUUGAUCGGUGGUUAUGAAAAGAAAUGAGCAAAAUCGCUCAUAACCAAAAGGCUCAUUUCUGCAGAAGUUCACUGCUCAGUACACCCAAUCGGCAGCCCCCCGGGGAGGAGAAGAGCAAAGACGAGGUCUGCAAUGCAGUGGCCACUGGGUGAUCAGACCCUCCAGAGGGCUGUCGGAGCUGAUCUGGUGUCCAGAUAAACGUGGCAUUCAUGCUAGCCAUCUGUCCACAGGGCCGAGACCUGGCAGCUGGGCAUCACCGUGCUGGCCUACUUCAAAGCAGCCCCUUCCCACUGGGCACAUAUGCACGGGCAGGUACACGCGUGUGCCUCAUGGCACAAAGCAAGCAUGGACUGCCAGGCUGGAUGCAGAUAAAUAAACAAAAUGUAC
This 419-nucleotide long non-coding RNA is filed under the name Vulpes vulpes (red fox). RNAcentral describes it as "lncRNA (ENSVVUG00000013133.1)". The record is from RNAcentral. Lineage: Eukaryota; Metazoa; Chordata; Mammalia; Carnivora; Canidae.